This 488-nucleotide ribosomal RNA is filed under the name uncultured Bacteroidales bacterium. RNAcentral's name for it is "bacterial SSU rRNA". It matches the Rfam family "Bacterial small subunit ribosomal RNA", at positions 37 to 512 of the family's 1533-position model. The record is from RNAcentral. Lineage: Bacteria; Pseudomonadati; Bacteroidota; Bacteroidia; Bacteroidales.
UAGUUACAGGCUUAACACAUGCAAGUCGAGGGGAAACGACAUCGAAAGCUUGCUUUUGAUGGGCGUCGACCGGCGCACGGGUGAGUAACGCGUAUCCAACCUGCCCACCACUUGGGGAUAACCUUGCGAAAGUAAGACUAAUACCCAAUGACGUCUCUAGAAGACAUCUGAAAGAGAUUAAAGAUUUAUCGGUGAUGGAUGGGGAUGCGUCUGAUUAGCUUGUUGGCGGGGUAACGGCCCACCAAGGCAACGAUCAGUAGGGGUUCUGAGAGGAAGGUCCCCCACAUUGGAACUGAGACACGGUCCAAACUCCUACGGGAGGCAGCAGUGAGGAAUAUUGGUCAAUGGACGAGAGUCUGAACCAGCCAAGUAGCGUGCAGGAUGACGGCCCUAUGGGUUGUAAACUGCUUUUAUAAGGGAAUAAAGUGAGUCUCGUGAGACUUUUUGCAUGUACCUUAUGAAUAAGGACCGGCUAAUUCCGUGCCAGC